UUGCCUUAUUAUUGAUGUGUUUUUUCGC
This 28-nucleotide small RNA is filed under the name Bombyx mori (domestic silkworm). RNAcentral describes it as "ovarian small RNA-9719". The record is from RNAcentral. Lineage: Eukaryota; Metazoa; Arthropoda; Insecta; Lepidoptera; Bombycidae.